GCCGGGCAUAGUGGCACAUGCCUGUAGUCCCAGCUACAUGGGAGGCUGAGGCAGGAGGAUCUCUUGAGCCCAGGCAGUGGAGGCUGCAGUGAGCUGAGAUUGCACCACUGCACUCUAGCCUGGGCAACAAAGUGAGACCCUGGCUCAU
Molecule: unclassified non-coding RNA, 148 nt
Organism: Pongo abelii (Sumatran orangutan)
Lineage: Eukaryota; Metazoa; Chordata; Mammalia; Primates; Hominidae
Rfam family: Metazoan signal recognition particle RNA
About the family: The signal recognition particle (SRP) is a universally conserved ribonucleoprotein. It is involved in the co-translational targeting of proteins to membranes. The eukaryotic SRP consists of a 300-nucleotide 7S RNA and six proteins: SRPs 72, 68, 54, 19, 14, and 9.
Source: Ensembl